This is a long non-coding RNA of Mirounga angustirostris (Northern elephant seal), 686 nucleotides long. RefSeq lists it as uncharacterized. Lineage: Eukaryota; Metazoa; Chordata; Mammalia; Carnivora; Phocidae. The transcript is spliced from 3 exons. The record is from RefSeq and is a predicted model, not a curated record.
CUUUAUGGUCAUACUAUUACCCCCAUCAUGCAGAUGAGAAACCAAGGCUCGGAAAAGUUAAACAGAUUUUCCAAGGCCGUGGAAAGCAGCGGUGUCCAAAAGAGUGAAGGGGAAAAAGGAGAAGGAAGAUUUGAAACACUGAGGGAAGGCAAGUGAAGCCACAGCGAGAUGGCAGUCACCUGCAAGCCAGGAAGAGUACUCUCAUCAAAACCCAACCCUGCUGAUGUCCUGAUCUCAGACCUCCAGCUUCCAGAACUGGGAGAAAACAGAUUUCUGGUGUUUAAGACACAAAGUCUAAGAGGCUUGUUUGAGCUCCAUGAUCUUUUUUGCCUUCCCCUGAUGAAAUAAUGAAACCCUUGAGAGCUAUUUGGAAAGACUGUGGAGGUGUGUACCUUCUAAAUUAUGCCGAAGCUCCCCUGCAUUGUAUCAUACAUGCUACAUACCUGGAAGUAAACCUGCUAAUUUCUUUCUUGUGUUCUUUCCAGCCAUCAGGGUUUCCGAUACCUGGUCUUUGUUGUGAAUAAUAGAUAUAGUUUAUAGAUAGACAUGAUGGAUUUAUAAAUUCAAAAGACAGAAGUUAUCAUGAGACUAAUGAUCCAAGUAAAAGUAUAUGCAAAGAAAGAAUCAUGGAACACUCUAUCAAAAACUAAUGAUGUACUGUAUGGUGACUAACAUAAUAAAAUAAA